GGUUGUGCUGUGAAGAGAGAUGGAGUUUGUUAGCUGUGCUGUGAAGCAGAAGUCAGUGCUAUGAGGAGCAGCACAUGAGAAUUCACUGAGAAGGUGGCCUGGAGCAGACAUCCAGUGUAAGGUCACCCAGACUGGGCUGCCCUUUAAUGCUCUCAGUGGCCUCCGUGCAUUCCAAAUGUUCUGUCACAUAAAGGACAUCUCCACUGCCUCAUCUUCAUGGCUUGUCCUUUGUAAAGAGCCUGUUUCCAUCUGUUUUGACACUGUAUGAAACACCAUACCAUGUCUCCAUGAGCAUAGCAACAUCAAGGUCCUGCAACUACACACAGAGCUCUUAAUUCCUCAUGUUCAUUCCCAAUUCAACAGAAUUUAGGAACCAACUUCCCCCUGUGAACAGCUAAGUCAACAAGAAGGAGCUCGUGCUUUGGAACCCUUCAGCUGGUGGGUGUAUGUAGCUACCAAGGUGGAAUUUUCCUGACAGAAGCAAAAUUAUUUAAGGUCACUGAAGUUUUGUUGCAUCUCAUAUACAAUCAGCAAAUGGAA
Molecule: long non-coding RNA, 540 nt
Organism: Zonotrichia leucophrys gambelii
Lineage: Eukaryota; Metazoa; Chordata; Aves; Passeriformes; Passerellidae
Exons: 3
Source: RefSeq, a predicted model, not a curated record